Molecule: small RNA, 28 nt
Filed under: Bombyx mori (domestic silkworm)
Lineage: Eukaryota; Metazoa; Arthropoda; Insecta; Lepidoptera; Bombycidae
Description: ovarian small RNA-9429
Source: RNAcentral
UUAUACUCUAUAAUCAACUACUGUGUGC